Olea europaea var. sylvestris is the source of this 911-nucleotide RNA transcript. It is a transcript of the gene named UPF0161 protein At3g09310, with no coding region annotated. Lineage: Eukaryota; Viridiplantae; Streptophyta; Magnoliopsida; Lamiales; Oleaceae. The transcript has 7 exons. The record is from RefSeq and is a predicted model, not a curated record.
UUUUUGUAGGACGGUUUGAGAAAUGGCGCUAGUUUUCUCACUCAACUGUAAUUUCUCCCAUAAACCCUUUUCUCCCACAAACCCUAAUUUCAAAUUGAACUCCUCCAAAUUCUCAUUAAUAUCUAAGCGCCAUCAAUAUUUUCUCUCCUCUUCCAACAGUAAAUGUCAGUGUCGAAGGCGUUUCCGUGUUGUUAAUGAGUUGGAAAAAGAUUCAGGUCAGAACGAUGAUGAAGUGAAUAAUUUAGGAGUCAAUGCUGCAUUGUCUAUGCUGAAGUUCUACAAAAGGGAAAUCUCGCCAUUGUUGCCAAAUAGUUGUCGGUUUGUCCCAACAUGUAGUGAGUAUUCGAUGAUUGCUUACAAGAAGUAUGGAGUUGCGAAGGGAACCAUAUUGACUACUUGGCGUCUUUGUCGUUGCAAUCCUCUUGGUGGAUCUGGUUUUGAUCCCCCAAGAUGGUUUAAUGAGCCAAGUCCUCCGGAGUAGUGAAUUCAUUUCGAUUGUUGAUGGCACAGCACAAGCAACUCGUGCACUCUUUGAACUCUUCCAAUUUGAAUUCUAAUGCUUCUGUGGCUUCUGGCGCGUUAUCUAUGUUCUGAGGAAAGAGGGUUCAGCUUUUAGCAAUAGCUUGAUUGCAUUGACAGGCUCAUGGUUUUGUUGAUUUUCUGAAGUCGUACCUCUGAUAAACUGCUGCCAUGUGUUGGCUAAACAUUGUCCGAAAUUGUAGUUUUAGAAAUGGAGAAGUUUUCCUCGAAGGAGACAGCAUCGAGUAGAGAAAUGUUACUUUGUUAAUCAGAAGAGAAACAAGGAUGAUUCAGAUAUUAGGAUCUAGCAGACUUUAUGACUUAAUUACUCAGUUGAGCAUUUUGUUCCAUGGAAUAAAGUCUGCAUGAGAUUAUUGUCUCAGAUUAUUUUA